UUCCACAUGAUCCCAUCCAAGGAAUAAGAGUCUUAUCCAGUGAAACCAUCCCUCAUUUUCUGAAAAAGUUCAUAUUCAUAAAGUUUUAAACAAAUGCUCUGUGAUGCGUGUCGUCACACAUUGUAUAAUCCUGUUGGAAAGUUCAUGUGUGGUUAGUUCUUCCUUUUAAAAACUCUCAUCAUCUCAUGUUCUCCUCCAAAUUAGUUUUACCCUCUCUGUGAAGAGCAAUGACUGUUUCUGCACGAUGGCUUUAUUAAAACACUGGGUCAGUGCUUUCACCUGCGCCAACAUCAGCUGAUAAAGACACAUUUGUGGUUAAAGUGUAUAAACAGUAUUUCUUUAAAGAAGAAGAGCAGCGUUUAACUGCACAAGCCCUGAAUCCUCGGCUGGGCACCACUGGAGAAAACUCCUGGACUGAUUUCCUCAAAAAACUGAAUUUCUUUGUGACUGAAGACAGACAAACAUGAAGAUCCUGAUGACACGGGGUGAGUGACUUUAUCAGGAAAUGUUAUAUUGGAAGUGGACUUCUUCUUUAACUCUCAUCACUGCAAUAAAGCAAACGGUCAGCUGAA
This is a long non-coding RNA of Carassius carassius (crucian carp), 572 nucleotides long. RefSeq lists it as uncharacterized. NCBI's taxonomy places the organism in Eukaryota, Metazoa, Chordata, Actinopteri, Cypriniformes, Cyprinidae. The record is from RefSeq and is a predicted model, not a curated record. The transcript has 2 exons.